AGCGAACGCUGGCGGCAGGCCUAACACAUGCAAGUCGAACGAACCUUUCGGGGUUAGUGGCGGACGGGUGAGUAACACGUGGGAACGUGCCUUUAGGUUCGGAAUAACUCAGGGAAACUUGUGCUAAUACCGAAUGUGCUCUUCGGGGGAAAGAUUAAUCGCCUUUAGAGCGGCCCGCGUCCGAUUAGCUAGUUGGUUGAGGUAAUGGCUCACCAAGGCGACGAUCAGUAGCUGGUCUGAGAGGAUGAUCAGCCACAUUGGGACUGAGACACGGCCCAAACUCCUGCGGGAGGCAGCAGUGGGUGAUCUUGCGCAAUGGGCGAAAGCCUGACGCAGCCAUGCCGCGUGAAUGAUGAAGGUCUUAGGAUUGUAAAAUUCUUUCACCGGGGACGAUAAUGACGGUACCCGGAGAAGAAGCCCCGGCUAACUUCGUG
Molecule: ribosomal RNA, 434 nt
Filed under: uncultured bacterium
Lineage: Bacteria
Description: partial 16S ribosomal RNA
Rfam family: Bacterial small subunit ribosomal RNA
Source: RNAcentral